This 460-nucleotide ribosomal RNA is filed under the name uncultured bacterium. Its description in RNAcentral is "partial 16S ribosomal RNA". It matches the Rfam family "Bacterial small subunit ribosomal RNA", at positions 338 to 795 of the family's 1533-position model. The record is from RNAcentral.
CCUACGGGGGACAGCAGUGAGGAAUAUUGGUCAAUGGCCGCGAGGCUGAACCAGCCAAGUCGCGUGAAGGAUGACGGCCCUACGGGUUGUAAACUUCUUUUGUCAGGGAGCAAUUGAGUCCACGCGUGGUCUUAGCGAGAGUACCUACAGAAAAAGCAUCGGCUAACUCCGUGCCAGCAGCCGCGGUAUUACGGGGGUUGCGAGCGUUAUCCGGAUUUAUUGGGUUAACAGGGUGCGUAGGCGGAAUAUCAAGUCAGCGGUAAAAAUUCGGGGCUCAACCCCGUCGUGCCGUUGAAACUGAUGUUCUUGAGUGGGCGAGAAGUAUGCGGAAUGCGUGGUGUAGCGGUGAAAUGCAUAGAUAUCACGCAGAACUCCGAUUGCGAAGGCAGCAUACCGGCGCCCAACUGACGCUGAGGCACGAAAGCGUGGGUAUCGAACAGGAUUAGAUACCCCAGUAGUC